UGGGGGAUAUUGCACAAUGGGCGCAAGCCUGAUGCAGCGACGCCGCGUGGGGGAUGAAGGCCUUCGGGUUGUAAACUUCUUUUGCUCUGAACAAGGCGCACUUUGGGGUGUGUUGAGUGUAGGGGUUGAUUAGCGCCGGCUAACUACGUGCCAGCAGCCGCGGUAAUACGUAGGGCGCGAGCGUUGUCCGGAAUUAUUGGGCGUAAAGGGCUUGUAGGUGGCUGGUUGCGUCUGUCGUGAAAGCUCAUGGCUUAACUGUGGGUUUGCGGUGGGUACGGGCUGGCUUGAGUGCAGUAGGGGAGGCUGGAAUUCCUGGUGUAGCGGUGGAAUGCGCAGAUAUCAGGAGGAAUACUGGUGGCGAAGGCGGGUCUCUGGGCUGUUACUGACACUGAGGAGCGAAAGCAUGGGGAGCGAACAGG
This 419-nucleotide ribosomal RNA is filed under the name bacterium. Its description in RNAcentral is "partial 16S ribosomal RNA". It matches the Rfam family "Bacterial small subunit ribosomal RNA", at positions 355 to 776 of the family's 1533-position model. The record is from RNAcentral.